AUUGAACGCUGGCGGCAUGCCUUACACAUGCAAGUCGAACGGUAACAGGUCUUCGGAUGCUGACGAGUGGCGAACGGGUGAGUAAUACAUCGGAACGUGCCUAGUAGUGGGGGAUAACUACUCGAAAGAGUGGCUAAUACCGCAUGAGAUCUACGGAUGAAAGCAGGGGAUCGCAAGACCUUGUGCUACUAGAGCGGGCGAUGGCAGAUUAGGUAGUUGGUGGGAUAAAAGCUUACCAAGCCGACGAUCUGUAGCUGGUCUGAGAGGACGAUCAGCCACACUGGGACUGAGACACGGCCCAGACUCCUACGGGAGGCAGCAGUGGGGAAUUUUGGACAAUGGGCGCAAGCCUGAUCCAGCAAUGCCGCGUGCAGGAUGAAGGCCUUCGGGUUGUAAACUGCUUUUGUACGGAACGAAAAGCCCUGGGUUAAUACCCUGGGGUCAUGACGGUACCGUAAGAAUAAGCACCGGCUAACUACGUGCCAGCCGCCGCAGUAA
RNAcentral lists this ribosomal RNA (498 nucleotides) under uncultured bacterium. RNAcentral describes it as "partial 16S ribosomal RNA". It matches the Rfam family "Bacterial small subunit ribosomal RNA", at positions 30 to 523 of the family's 1533-position model. The record is from RNAcentral.